Molecule: ribosomal RNA, 506 nt
Filed under: uncultured bacterium
Lineage: Bacteria
Description: partial 16S ribosomal RNA
Rfam family: Bacterial small subunit ribosomal RNA
Source: RNAcentral
AGUGAACGCUGGCGGUAGGCCUAACACAUGCAAGUCGAACGGCAGCACAGAGGAGCUUGCUCCUUGGGUGGCGAGUGGCGGACGGGUGAGGAAUACAUCGGAAUCUACUCUGUCGUGGGGGAUAACGUAGGGAAACUUACGCUAAUACCGCUUACGACCUACGGGGGAAAGCAGGGGACCUUCGGGCCUUGCGCGAUUGAAUGAGCCGAUGUCGGAUUAGCUAGUUGGCGGGGUAAAGGACCACCAAGGCGAAGAUCAGUAGCUGGUCUGAGAAGAUGAGCAGCCACACUGGAACUGAGACACUGUCCAGACUCCUACGGGAGGCAGCAGUGGGGAAUAUUGGACAAUGGGCGCAAUCCUGAUCCAGCCAUACCGCGUGGGUGAAGAAGGCCUUCGGGUUGUAAAGCCCUUUUGUUGGGAAAGAAAUCCAGCUGGCUAAUACCCGGUUGGGAUGACGGUACCCAAAGAAUAAGCACCGGCUAACUUCGUGCCAGCAGCCGCCGCCG